RNAcentral lists this ribosomal RNA (1440 nucleotides) under Klebsiella sp. WCL-49. Its description in RNAcentral is "bacterial SSU rRNA". It matches the Rfam family "Bacterial small subunit ribosomal RNA". The record is from RNAcentral. RNAcentral also lists the same sequence under 1 other name. Lineage: Bacteria; Pseudomonadati; Pseudomonadota; Gammaproteobacteria; Enterobacterales; Enterobacteriaceae.
GCCAUGCGGCAGCUACACAUGCAGUCGAGCGGUAGCACAGAGAGCUUGCUCUCGGGUGACGAGCGGCGGACGGGUGAGUAAUGUCUGGGAAACUGCCUGAUGGAGGGGGAUAACUACUGGAAACGGUAGCUAAUACCGCAUAACGUCGCAAGACCAAAGUGGGGGACCUUCGGGCCUCAUGCCAUCAGAUGUGCCCAGAUGGGAUUAGCUGGUAGGUGGGGUAACGGCUCACCUAGGCGACGAUCCCUAGCUGGUCUGAGAGGAUGACCAGCCACACUGGAACUGAGACACGGUCCAGACUCCUACGGGAGGCAGCAGUGGGGAAUAUUGCACAAUGGGCGCAAGCCUGAUGCAGCCAUGCCGCGUGUGUGAAGAAGGCCUUCGGGUUGUAAAGCACUUUCAGCGGGGAGGAAGGCGGUGAGGUUAAUAACCUCAUCGAUUGACGUUACCCGCAGAAGAAGCACCGGCUAACUCCGUGCCAGCAGCCGCGGUAAUACGGAGGGUGCAAGCGUUAAUCGGAAUUACUGGGCGUAAAGCGCACGCAGGCGGUCUGUCAAGUCGGAUGUGAAAUCCCCGGGCUCAACCUGGGAACUGCAUUCGAAACUGGCAGGCUAGAGUCUUGUAGAGGGGGGUAGAAUUCCAGGUGUAGCGGUGAAAUGCGUAGAGAUCUGGAGGAAUACCGGUGGCGAAGGCGGCCCCCUGGACAAAGACUGACGCUCAGGUGCGAAAGCGUGGGGAGCAAACAGGAUUAGAUACCCUGGUAGUCCACGCUGUAAACGAUGUCGAUUUGGAGGUUGUGCCCUUGAGGCGUGGCUUCCGGAGCUAACGCGUUAAAUCGACCGCCUGGGGAGUACGGCCGCAAGGUUAAAACUCAAAUGAAUUGACGGGGGCCCGCACAAGCGGUGGAGCAUGUGGUUUAAUUCGAUGCAACGCGAAGAACCUUACCUGGUCUUGACAUCCACAGAACUUUCCAGAGAUGGAUUGGUGCCUUCGGGAACUGUGAGACAGGUGCUGCAUGGCUGUCGUCAGCUCGUGUUGUGAAAUGUUGGGUUAAGUCCCGCAACGAGCGCAACCCUUAUCCUUUGUUGCCAGCGGUCCGGCCGGGAACUCAAAGGAGACUGCCAGUGAUAAACUGGAGGAAGGUGGGGAUGACGUCAAGUCAUCAUGGCCCUUACGACCAGGGCUACACACGUGCUACAAUGGCAUAUACAAAGAGAAGCGACCUCGCGAGAGCAAGCGGACCUCAUAAAGUAUGUCGUAGUCCGGAUUGGAGUCUGCAACUCGACUCCAUGAAGUCGGAAUCGCUAGUAAUCGUAGAUCAGAAUGCUACGGUGAAUACGUUCCCGGGCCUUGUACACACCGCCCGUCACACCAUGGGAGUGGGUUGCAAAAGAAGUAGGUAGCUUAACCUUCGGGAGGGCGCUACCACUUGGAUCGGGG